RNAcentral lists this ribosomal RNA (274 nucleotides) under uncultured bacterium. Its description in RNAcentral is "partial 16S ribosomal RNA". It matches the Rfam family "Bacterial small subunit ribosomal RNA", at positions 523 to 796 of the family's 1533-position model. The record is from RNAcentral.
AUACAGAGGGUGCAAGCGUUAUUCGGAAUUACUGGGCGUAAAGCGCGCGUAGGCGGAUGAUUAAGUCAGUUGUGAAAGCCCUGGGCUCAACCUAGGAACUGCAUCUGAUACUGGUCAUCUAGAGUUUAAGAGAGGGAAGUGGAAUUCCAGGUGUAGCAGUGAAAUGCGUAGAUAUCUGGAGGAACAUCAGUGGCGAAGGCGACUUCCUGGCUUAGAACUGACGUUGAGGUGCGAAAGCGUGGGUAGCGAACGGGAUUAGAAACCCUAGUAGUCC